GAGCUUCCCAUACGGGUUGAAGCAUGACCGUAAGGACAUGUGGACAGUAUGGGAGUGAGAAUGUUGGCAUGAGUAGCGAGAUGUGGGUGAGAAUCCCACAGGCCGUAAACCCAAGGUUUCCAGGGGAAGGUUCGUCCGCCCUGGGUUAGUCGGGACCUAAGCUGAGGCCGAAAGGCGUAGGUGAUGGACAACAGGUUGAUAUUCCUGUACUACCGAUAACCGUUUGAGAGAAGGGAUGACACAGUAGGAUAAGCUAAGCACACUGUUGGUUAUGUGUGCCCAAGCAUUGAGGCAGUCAAAGUAGGCAAAUCCGCUUUGAUAAUGCUGGGAUGUGAUGGGGAGCGAAAUUUAGUAGCGAAGUAGCUGAUUUCACACUGUCAAGAAAAGUCUCUAUCGAGGUUAAAGGUACCCGUACCGCAAACCGACACAGGUGGGUGAGGAGAGUAUCCUAAGGCCAGCGAGAGAACUGUUGUUAAGGAACUCGGCAAAAUGACCCCGUAACUUAGGGAUAAGGGGUGCCACCAUCAGGUGGCCGCAGAGAAUAGGCCCAAGCGACUGUUUACCAAAAACAUAGGUUUCUGCUAAGUCGCAAGACGAUGUAUAGGAGCUGACGCCUGCCCGGUGCUGGAAGGUUAAGGGGAUCUGUUAGAGCAAUCGAAGCAGUGAACUUAAGCCCCAGUAAACGGCGGCCGUAACUAUAACGGUCCUAAGGUAGCGAAAUUCCUUGUCGGGUAAGUUCCGACCCGCACGAAAGGCGUAACGAUUUGGGCACUGUCUCAACAACAGACUCGGUGAAAUUGUAAUUCCGGUGAAGAUGCCGGAUACCUGCGACAGGACGGAAAGACCCCAUGGAGCUUUACUGUAGCUUGACAUUGGGUCUUGGUACUACAUGUACAGGAUAGGUGGGAGGCUUUGAAACCAGGACGCCAGUUUUGGCGGAGCCAUCCUUGGGAUACCACCCUUGUAGUACUGGGACUCUAACCAUAGGCCAUGAAUCUGGUCUUGGGACACUGUCAGGUGGGCAGUUUGACUGGGGCGGUCGCCUCCCAAAAGGUAACGGAGGCGCUCAAAGGUUCUCUCAGUACGGUCGGAAAUCGUACGUAGAGUGUAAAGGCAAAAGAGAGCUUGAUUGCAAGACAUACAGGUCGAGCAAGGAUGAAAAUCGGACUUAGUGAUCCGGUGGUUCUGCGUGGAAGGGCCAUCGCUCAACGGAUAAAAGCUACCCUGGGGAUAACAGGCUUAUCUCCCCCAAGAGUCCACAUCGACGGGGAGGUUUGGCACCUCGAUGUCGGCUCAUCACAUCCUGGGGCUGUAGUAGGUCCCAAGGGUUGGGCUGUUCGCCCAUUAAAGUGGUACGCGAGCUGGGUUCAGAACGUCGUGAGACAGUUCGGUCCCUAUCCGUCGCAGGCGUAGGAAAUUUGAGAAGACCUGUCCUUAGUACGAGAGGACCGGGAUGGACGUACCUCUGGUGUACCAGUUGUCCUGCCAAGGGCAUGGCUGGGUAGCUAUGUACGGAAUGGAUAAGCGCUGAAAGCAUCUAAGCGCGAAGCCAACUUCAAGAUAAGAUUUCCCACCGCAAGGGUAAGACCCCAGAAAGACUAUCUGGUUGAUAGGUCGAAGGUGUAAGUGUAGCAAUGUAUUUAGCUUAUCGAUACUAAUAGGUCGAGGACUUGACCAA
This 1678-nucleotide ribosomal RNA is filed under the name Clostridioides difficile. Its description in RNAcentral is "bacterial LSU rRNA". It matches the Rfam family "Bacterial large subunit ribosomal RNA", at positions 1234 to 2925 of the family's 2925-position model. Lineage: Bacteria; Bacillati; Bacillota; Clostridia; Peptostreptococcales; Peptostreptococcaceae. The record is from RNAcentral.